RNAcentral lists this ribosomal RNA (484 nucleotides) under uncultured bacterium. RNAcentral's name for it is "partial 16S ribosomal RNA". It matches the Rfam family "Bacterial small subunit ribosomal RNA", at positions 30 to 507 of the family's 1533-position model. The record is from RNAcentral.
AUUGAACGCUGGCGGCAGGCCUAACACAUGCAAGUCGAGCGGAUGAAGGGAGCUUGCUCCUGGAUUCAGCGGCGGACGGGUGAGUAAUGCCUAGGAAUCUGCCUGGUAUUGGGGGAUAACGUCCGGAAACGGGCGCUAAUACCGCAUACGUCCUGAGGGAGAAAGUGGGGGAUCUUCGGACCUCACGCUAUUAGAUGAGCCUAGGUCGGAUUAGCUAGUUUGUGGGGUAAAGGCCUACCAAGGCGACGAUCCGUAACUGGUCUGAGAGGAUGAUCAGUAACACGGGAACGGAGACACGGUCAGGACUCCUACGGGAGGCAGCGGUGGGGAAUAUUGGACAAUGGGCGAAAGCCUGAUCCAGCCAUGCCGCGUGUGUGAAGAAGGUCUUCGGAUUGUAAAGCACUUUAAGUUGGGAGGAAGGGCAGUAAGUUAAUACCUUGCUGUUUUGACGUUACCAACAGAAUAAGCACCGGCUAACUACGUG